Molecule: ribosomal RNA, 368 nt
Filed under: uncultured organism
Description: bacterial SSU rRNA
Rfam family: Bacterial small subunit ribosomal RNA
Source: RNAcentral
CGGAGGGUGCGAGCGUUGUCCGGAUUUAUUGGGUUUAAAGGGUGCGUAGGUGGCCUGUUAAGUCAGUGGUGAAAUACGGUUGCUCAACAAUCGAGGUGCCAUUGAUACUGACCGGCUUGAAAUAAUUGGAGGCUGCCGGAAUGGAUGGUGUAGCGGUGAAGUGCAUAGAUAUCAUCCAGAACACCGAUUGCGAAGGCAGGUGGCUACGAUUGGUUUGACACUGAGGCACGAAAGCAUGGGGAGCAAACAGGAUUAGAUACCCUGGUAGUCCAUGCUGUAAACGAUGAGGACUCGUUGUUUGGCAGUAAUGCUGAGCGACUUAGGGAAACCGUUAAGUCCUCCACCUGGGGAGUACGCCGGCAACGGUG